UUCUGCAGCCAUAACAUCUUGGGUUGUGAUGCUGUCAGAUCUCAUAAGCUAAGCAGAGCUGGGCCUGGUCAGUACAUAGAUGGGAUACUGAAUCAGUGGGUGGUUGACAAGAU
Molecule: ribosomal RNA, 113 nt
Organism: Chelonoidis abingdonii (Abingdon island giant tortoise)
Lineage: Eukaryota; Metazoa; Chordata; Testudines; Testudinidae
Source: Ensembl